UGGGGAAUAUUGCACAAUGGGCGCAAGCCUGAUGCAGCAACGCCGCGUGAACGAUGAAGGUCUUCGGAUCGUAAAGUUCUGUUGCAGGGGAAGAUAAUGACGGUACCCUGUGAGGAAGCCCCGGCUAACUACGUGCCAGCAGCCGCGGUAAUACGUAGGGGGCUAGCGUUAUCCGGAUUUACUGGGCGUAAAGGGUGCGUAGGUGGUCUUUCAAGUCGGUGGUUAAAGGCUACGGCUCAACCGUAGUUAGCCUCCGAAACUGGAAGACUUGAGUGCAGGAGAGGAAAGUGGAAUUCCCAGUGUAGCGGUGAAAUGCGUAGAUAUUGGGAGGAACACCAGUAGCGAAGGCGGCUUGCGGGACUGCAACUGACACUGAGGCACGAAAGCGUGGGUAGCAAACAGG
This 403-nucleotide ribosomal RNA is filed under the name Verrucomicrobiota bacterium. Its description in RNAcentral is "Verrucomicrobia bacterium partial 16S ribosomal RNA". It matches the Rfam family "Bacterial small subunit ribosomal RNA", at positions 355 to 776 of the family's 1533-position model. The record is from RNAcentral. Lineage: Bacteria; Pseudomonadati; Verrucomicrobiota.